RNAcentral lists this ribosomal RNA (497 nucleotides) under uncultured bacterium. RNAcentral's name for it is "partial 16S ribosomal RNA". It matches the Rfam family "Bacterial small subunit ribosomal RNA", at positions 28 to 507 of the family's 1533-position model. The record is from RNAcentral.
GAUGAACGCUGGCGGCGUGCCUAAUACAUGCAAGUCGAGCGAACAGACGAGGAGCUUGCUCCUCUGACGUUAGCGGCGGACGGGUGAGUAAUACGUGGGUAACCUACCUAUAAGACUGGGAUAACUUCGGGAAACCGGAGCUAAUACCGGAUAAUAUAUUGAACCGCAUGGUUCAAUAGUGAAAGACGGUUUUGCUGUCACUUAUAGAUGGAUCCGCGCCGCAUUAGCUAGUUGGUAAGGUAACGACUUACCAAGGCAACGAUGCGUAGCCGACCUGAGAGGGUGAUCGGCCACACUGGAACUGAGACACGGUCCAGACUCCUACGGGAGGCAGCAGUAGGGAAUCUUCCGCAAUGGGCGAAAGCCUGACGGAGCAACGCCGCGUGAGUGAUGAAGGUCUUCGGAUCGUAAAACUCUGUUAUUAGGGAAGAACAAAUGUGUAAGUAACUAUGCACGUCUUGACGGUACCUAAUCAGAAAGCCACGGCUAACUACGUG